Molecule: ribosomal RNA, 429 nt
Filed under: Bacillota bacterium
Lineage: Bacteria; Bacillati; Bacillota
Description: Firmicutes bacterium partial 16S ribosomal RNA
Rfam family: Bacterial small subunit ribosomal RNA
Source: RNAcentral
UCGAGAAUUUUUCUCAAUGGGGGAAACCCUGAAGGAGCGACGCCGCGUGGAGGAUGAAGGUCUUCGGAUUGUAAACUCCUGUCAUUGGUGAACAAGGCCCACGCAGUAACUGGUGUUGGGUUUGAUAGUAGCCGAAGAGGAAGAGACGGCUAACUCUGUGCCAGCAGCCGCGGUAAUACAGAGGUCUCAAGCGUUGUUCGGAUUCAUUGGGCGUAAAGGGUGCGUAGGCGGCAGGGUAAGUCUGGAGUGAAAUCCCGGGGCUCAACCCCGGAACUGCACUGGAUACUGCUUUGCUAGAGUACUGGAGAGGGAACUGGAAUUUACGGUGUAGCAGUGAAAUGCGUAGAUAUCGUAAGGAAGACCAGUGGCGAAGGCGAGUUCCUGGACAGUUACUGACGCUGAGGCACGAAGGCCAGGGGAGCAAACGGG